GGCGCUAUGUUGGAACUGGUAGACAAGACGGACUCAAAAUCCGUUGUGAGCAAUCACGUGAGAGUUCGAUUCUCUCUGGCGCUACCA
RNAcentral lists this transfer RNA (87 nucleotides) under Candidatus Pelagibacter sp. RNAcentral describes it as "tRNA-Leu". It matches the Rfam family "tRNA". Rfam says of the family: Transfer RNA (tRNA) molecules are approximately 80 nucleotides in length. Their secondary structure includes four short double-helical elements and three loops (D, anti-codon, and T loops). The record is from RNAcentral. Lineage: Bacteria; Pseudomonadati; Pseudomonadota; Alphaproteobacteria; Candidatus Pelagibacterales; Candidatus Pelagibacteraceae.